GUAUAUAUAUUUUGGGUUAUUCGACAGCGAAAUUGAUGCAGCAAGAGCUUAUGACAAGGCAGCUAUCAAAUGCAAUGGAAGGGAAGCAGCCACCAACUUUGAGCCGAGUACAUAUGAAGGGGAGAUCGUCCCUGUGGUGGCUAAUGGAGGCAGUAUCCACAAUCUUGAUCUGAACUUGGGGAUUUCUCCCCCUUCUUUGGCUGAUGGCACAAACAGGAAUGAGAGUACGGUUGGUUUCUGGUUCGAUUGUGGCCUUCAUGACAUGCCCGAUG
Telopea speciosissima is the source of this 272-nucleotide long non-coding RNA. RefSeq lists it as uncharacterized. Lineage: Eukaryota; Viridiplantae; Streptophyta; Magnoliopsida; Proteales; Proteaceae. The record is from RefSeq and is a predicted model, not a curated record. The transcript has 3 exons.